Molecule: ribosomal RNA, 538 nt
Filed under: uncultured bacterium
Lineage: Bacteria
Description: partial 16S ribosomal RNA
Rfam family: Bacterial small subunit ribosomal RNA
Source: RNAcentral
UGGGGAAUAUUGCACAAUGGGCGCAAGCCUGAUGCAGCAACGCCGCGUGAGGGAUGACGGCCUUCGGGUUGUAAACCUCUUUUAGUAGGGAAGAAGCGAAAGUGACGGUACCUGCAGAAAAAGCACCGGCUAACUACGUGCCAGCAGCCGCGGUAAUACGUAGGGUGCGAGCGUUGUCCGGAAUUAUUGGGCGUAAAGAGCUCGUAGGCGGUCUGUCGCGUCUGCUGUGAAAAACCCGAGGCUCAACCUCGGGCCUGCAGUGGGUACGGGCAGACUAGAGUGCGUAGGGGAGAAUGGAAUUCCUGGUGUAGCGGUGGAAUGCGCAGAUAUCAGGAGGAACACCGAUGGCGAAGGCAGUUCUCUGGGCCGUAACUGACGCUGAGGAGCGAAAGCGUGGGGAGCGAACAGGAUUAGAUACCCUGGUAGUCCACGCCGUAAACGUUGGGCGCUAGAUGUGGGGACCAUUCCACGGUUUCCGUGUCGCAGCUAACGCAUUAAGCGCCCCGCCUGGGGAGUACGGCCGCAAGGCUAAAAACUC